Small nuclear RNA from Betta splendens (Siamese fighting fish), 158 nucleotides. Its record names the gene U1. It matches the Rfam family "U1 spliceosomal RNA". Rfam says of the family: U1 is a small nuclear RNA (snRNA) component of the spliceosome (involved in pre-mRNA splicing). Its 5' end forms complementary base pairs with the 5' splice junction, thus defining the 5' donor site of an intron. There are significant differences in sequence and secondary structure between metazoan and yeast U1 snRNAs, the latter being much longer (568 nucleotides as compared to 164 nucleotides in human). The record is from Ensembl. Lineage: Eukaryota; Metazoa; Chordata; Actinopteri; Anabantiformes; Osphronemidae.
CUACCCAUCUCUAGGUGAUACCAUGAUUAAGAAGGUGGUUCACCCAGUGAGGCUCGAUCAAUGCACUCUGGCUGUCUGACCCCUGCGAAUUCCCCAAAUGCGAGAAUCUCGACUGCAUAAUUUGUGCUAGUGCGGGACUGCGUUCGCGCUCUCCCCUA